Molecule: long non-coding RNA, 6970 nt
Organism: Dermochelys coriacea (leatherback sea turtle)
Lineage: Eukaryota; Metazoa; Chordata; Testudines; Dermochelyidae
Exons: 2
Source: RefSeq, a predicted model, not a curated record
CCUCGCUGAAGGGAGAAAAGACAUUCAUUGUAUUCCCUCAUGUAAGUAUCACUGAAGUGACCAGCUUUAAAAAGCAAAUAUGUAUAUGUGGAAAAACUGAAGGGAAUGAGGAGUGUAAAGCUGUAUGCCAAAAUAUUUGUAUACAUUGUUAGCAACUACUAACAGUGCUUUCUAUCCUGUUAAUAUCCUUUCAGCAGCCUCAAAAUAAUUAUUUCACAUUUUGACCCUUAAAGUAUUCAUUCUGUACAAAUCCCCCUCUCAGUAUGCUACCAGAGUCCUAUUCUCCCCUGCCCACCCUUAGUCUACAAGGCCUAGUAAAACAUUGUAAUUGAAUUCAUUAGUUUGAUUUUGUCCUUCCUUUCUGGAUGGUUGCUCUUUGCUCUUCUUUUCACAGAGUAAAGCUUCUUUCUUGGCCACUGGGUCUAGGUCUAUUUUAAUUAUUUUAAAAUCUCUGUAAAGCAUCCAGCUGCAGUGAGGAGCAUUAUACAAGCCAGUGAUACUCAGACAUCAGUGCUUGAGGGGCCAAAUCAGCAUUACCCAAAAGAGCCACAGUAGGAUGAAUUCAUUUACUAUAGUACUAUAUAGUUAUAUUUAAACAGUAUGAAGGGAAAUAUUUGGUUUUUAUAUACAUAUAUAUUCUCAGAGCAAAAUGACUUAUUUCAUCAACUACAAUUGGUUAACAUCAUAAAAGCAUCCCGAUUGGUUGUCAAUUAAAUCGCACCAUUUUAAUAUCAUGUGCUGCAAAGAGCCACAAGAGACACAUUAAAAAACCUCUUGCAGCUCACAAGCCUCAGUGAGUAUCUCUGAUACAAGCAAAUAAACCCUAGUAUAACUCUUCACCAUCAAGUGCACAGCACAUUAACUCCCCACACCUCUGUAAGGCAAAUAUAAUGAUUUUACAAAUGGGGAAUCUGAGGCAUACUGGUUAAGUGCCUAAGAUCACAUAAAUCAGUGAUCAGUCAGUGUAGAAACCAGACAAAAUGGAUGGUUUUCAUUCAAGAUUUAAAUGACUUUAAACAUGAUUUAAAGUCAAUAGUAAAAAAUACUUCAUUAGAAUUAAACUAAAUUUGUGUAAAAAAUUAAAGAUGCACUCUGUCAUUAGUAAUAGAGCCCAAACAUUUUGGUAAUCCCCUUGAUCUCUUCAAAUGAAAGGUAGCCUAUCAGAAAAGUUGGACAACACAUAUAUGCCUUAUUCAAGUAAUGACUGGGCUUAGUCAAUUAAAUUCCUUCAGUCUUUAGUUUUUACAGUAAAAAUGGGGAAAUAUUACAUUUCUAACUAGAGAAACCAGGUGGGUGAGGUUAAUAUCUUAAUUGGACUUUUGUCUAAUAAGAAGAGCUCUGUAUAAGCUCGAAAGCUUGUCUCCCUCACAAACAGAAGUUGGUCCAACAACAGAUAUUACCUCACCCACCUUGUUUCUCUAGUAUUCUGGUACUGACACAGCUACCAGAACGCUGCACAUCUCUAGCUAGACAUUCAUCAAAACACAACAUAGGUAAACCAUAUUGAUAAAGCUAAACAUUAAAGUCAAGGAGUUUAGGGAUUUUCUUCAGCUUUUUCUUUAAACUUGGAUUUUUAAUAUUCAACAAUAUGUGCAUUGUCAUUUGAAAGUUAUAAAUAUUUUCAAUGCUUUCUUAUUCCAUGAAGAACCCUAAUACUCUCUCUAGGGAGUCACAUAGCUAUCAGUAUUACACUGUGUGUCGUAAUUAUUGGCUGGUGGAAAAAUGCAAUACCUUCACUGCUUGGAUUUAAUGUAGCGUGUUUUGUUAAGCCAUGCAUUCAUACUAAUGGAAAAUCAGAGGGUAGCACUGGGAACAUUGUUCAGGUAUCAUGCUCUGCCCAGAUUGCAUAUGGAGUGAGUAUAUCUUGCUUCACUCUACAGGAUCCCCUUUGGCUAGUGCAGAAGCACUGACAAGCUCCAGGAGGAGGUCUCUGAGCAUGGAAACCUGUGAGGGUCUAUCAUGAUUGAUUUGGGAUGGAUGAGGGAAAUUACUGAGAAGUCCGAUCACUCUGCUCCACCCCAUCAGACAUUUCUCAGAGGCAUUAGUGCACACCUACAAUUCUGUGCCUGUAACAUUCCAUUUUUAAAAUGAGGGCUUUGUUUUAACAAGAAUAGGUGAAACCACAGAAGUUUCUAAAGCCUGCACCCCAUUUGGACGAUGGCACAUACACCAAAAAUGCCAUCAGUUAUUUGGAAAGAAGCGUCUGGGCUGCCAGCUUGCUUGUAGGUCAAGAUAUAGCAAAUGCCAGUAAACACUCGACUGGAGUGGUCAAUUGAUCCUGAAGUACAAGCUGAUUAAUGAGCAGUUACAAGUUAGUUACACAAACCUUUUUGCCCCUGUGCACACCAUUUUUCCAGAGCUGAAUAUAAGUGCAGUAGUACGUGGUUCUCUUAUUCUCAUGAUGACAGCAGCAAAACGCUGAAAUGCAUAACUUGAAGCUGUUAGUGAUAUUAUUGCUGGAAGAAUUCUAUACAAAUAAAUGCAUUACCAAAUUUUAAACAGUAUUAACCAACUUAAUACUAUACUUUCCACUUACACAGCCUUCUUAAUUCUGAAAGCACUGUCAACUUGAGAUCUAAACCAUUGUAAAAAAUGAAUGAAAAGUAGCUUUAAAUACUAUGCCUGACUCCUGCUUUUACAAUCAGUUUCCUUUUUUAUUAAAAUGUUUCUCUUACUAUGUGAAAGACCGAUAGACCAGAAGAAAUCUUACUAUAAAAAAGGAACAAAUUAUUCUAUACAGUAUGUUGUUAAAUGCACCAAAUUAUUUGAAAAAAGGAACAGACUCUCUGCAAUCUUUCAGUUAUAUUAACAUUGCUUGUAACAAUCGAUUUCCAGACAGAAGUUUGAUUUUUGUCCCUUUAAGCCUCAACACCCUUGUAAGGUACAAAACUCUGACAUCAUUUUACUGAUGAGAAAAUGAAACAGGGAAAUUGAAGGAUUGUCCAACCUCAGAAUGUUGGUCAUGUUAUGGGUAGAAACAAGAAGCCAAAUUCUUGUCAAUGAAAGGCAGCUGAAUUACUUCAAACACACACCAGUAGCAUCAUUACUCAUAGUUCCAGGCUCUAAUCUCCAUGUGUAGAAAUUUAAGCCCACAUUUGAGUGAACUAUGGUUUUAAAUUGUGUUUGAAUAUUGGCAGGAGUAAUAGGCCCAAAGCAUGUGACCAAAAAGAAUGAACUCAUGAGAAGGAUUGUGUGUGUUAAACUUGUAUUGACCCUUUGCAAAUUACCAGCAUUAUCUUAUUUAACAUUUGGGAAAUAAAGAAAACAUGCACCAGGUGCAGUAAAUAAUUGGUUAGAAAUGCUUAGUCCAGUAGUUGGAAAAAAAAUAUGGGAAGUGAGAUAAAGGAAAUAACCCUGAGUAAAGCAAAGUGCAGCCCUCAACUGCUUCAGCUAAGGCCCAAUAACCAACCAUGAUGUCACUUGUUAGUUAUAAUGUAUAAAAAAAGCAAGGCUUUCUAGGUGUUUUGUCAGAGCUUUUCCCUAGCCCUCUGGAACCAUGCCAUGAAGGGAAGGGGUCUCCCAGGCGUGAUCUGAUUGUGAGUAUAUUAGACAAUACUUAUAACUGUAUCGUGGUAGGGUAUAGAAUAUAGAUGUGUAGAUAUGCUUACAUUUGUAUUUUGGUUGUAACUAGCACCAUGUGGCCUUUUGACUAAUAAAGGAAUGCUUGUGUGGAAAAUGACUUGUGGUAAGCCUUAAUAAAAUUAGGAAAAUUAUUUCCAACACUGCUGCUUAAUUAUUAUUUAUGCCGGGUACCACAACACUAAUUUAACCAUAAAUUCCUUUAUUAAGUCCAAAGGCCAAAUGGUAUUUAUACAAUUGUUCUAAACAUGCCUAAAUAUCAAGCAAUUUACUUCCUCCAAGCAAUAACAAAACGUGAUCAAGAUACUUACAAAUAGACUAAACCAAGGGGUGCUUAGAUCCAUAUUGGUCAGCUCAAACUUGAUCAGGCAGGAAUUAACAUAUGAACCCCUUUAAGAGUUUACUUUUUUAUACCCUUAAACAAACAAGUGAUGUCACUGCCAAUGAUCAGACCUUAGCUAAGGCUAAAUGAAGCAGUUUUAUAUAGCCAAUUUACUGCACCUGGCACCCAAUUAACCAUGUUUUAUUUCUAUUACAGUACUUCAACCCAAACCUUAAAUAAGAUAACACCCUUAUUUUGAAGGGUCACUACAAGUUUAACACAAGGACUCUUCUUUCCCAUGAGCUCAUUCUUUUUGGUUACAUGCCUUGGGGCCUGUUGCUCAUGCUAAUAUCCCAACUCAAUUUAAAACCAUCAUUCACCCAAUCUAAUGUGGAGCUAUUAUCCUACAACCACACUACACUUCCUUGUCAAUGCAGAUGAAUGGCUUGAAAGCUAGAGAUACUAUAAAUUCCUUAAAGGUUUUUAGAUUAGAUUAAAGGCUGAUAAACAUUGUUUUGAUGAUAAUUCAGAGUGUAUAACGAAUCCCUCAUCUUGAUUAUCCAAGUUCAAACUUUACAUAGCCUACUUAUCUUAAACGACAAGCAUCAUGCUGUUGCCCAAAACUACUCUUGCUGAAGUCACAUCCCACUUCACAUGUGGUUGUGUAACUAAUGUUUUGCCUUUAUGGAAAUAAACUAUAGUACAACUAUGGCUACCAUCUCAAAUUUACAUAAGUGUGCGCUUUUAUUGUUCUAUGACUAGAGUUUAAACUAGCACUUUCCUUGUCCAGGGCCUUAAAAAAAAAAAACUCCACACACCCACUACUAAGUAGGAACUUUUCCCCAAGGCAAGAGACAUCAAUUCCGCAACAUUAAAGCUUUCAUUUGAAAAAAAAAAUUAGUUGCAAAGAACAUUCCUAACAAGAAAGGAUUACAAAAGCUGAAGCAAUGACAUUUUCCUGAUCCAGUUAAAGGACAACUCCAGGUCCUCUACUUGCUGUUCAGAGCUUCUCAAGCUGCAGAAAAGAGAAAGUAAACUACAGCCAUCAAUUUUUACUGCUGAUAAUUAGAAUCUUGUGGACAAGAACAAAAUGGACUAAAAAAAAAUUAUCAGGGUACUGUCAGUUUUGCCCAAAAACGGAGGUUGGAGGGGAGGUGAAGUGACAGAGACCAUCCCACUCCAUGCUGAGGGAGGGGCUGACCCCUGCACAUCCGUAAGUUUCUGAGGUGGCAAUGAAGCACAGAAAAAGCAUUGCUUCUUCUCCAGCAGAUAGAUGGAACAGAGGGAUUGAAGUACAGAUAUGUAUUCUCCAUGGAAUGACAUGAAAGAUGGAACUCUUGAUCAUUGUCCAGGAACAGCAAUCCCCGCUUUUCAGCAGCUUGAAGCAUGGAGGGAAAGAGUUUCCACCACACCAUUAUAGAAACCUUCUUACCGAAGUGUGUAUAUAACUUGAGUAAUCUGGUCUUUUACAGUCACUCUUGUCCCAUCAGCCUCCCUCCCUCUUGAUGUUUGUUAAAAAUCACUCACAUAUCCCAUCUUUAAUUAGAUUGUAUAUCCUUCAGAUAUGCAUACAUUAGGAAAGAAGGAGUGUAUAUACACACACCAACUCCCUAGUAUAAACAGGGAAAUUUGUAUUUUAACCAGAGUUAUUUGGUGGAGGGUAAACAAUAGGAAAGCCCCUAUGAUUGCCCUCUACCAGCUAACAUGUUAGAAUACUAAUUACCCUGUUAACACAUGUUAAAAGAGCUAACAAUGUUAGGAACCAUUAGGAAAGAUAGAAAUCACCAUCAAUAUAUCCAUGCUAUGCCCACACUUUGAAUACUGGUUGCAGUUUUGGUUGCCCCAAAAAAGAUACUGAAAUUGGAAAAGGGAAAAAAAAUGAUUAGGAACAACUUCCAUAUGAAGAGAGAUUAAGACAACUGGGACAGUUCAGCUUAGAGAGAGGCUAUAAAAUCAUGAAUGGCAGGGAGGCAGUGAGCAAGGAAGUGUUAUUUACCCUUUCACAUUACACAAGAACAAGGGGUCACUCAAAGAAAUUAACGGGCACCAUGUUUAAAACUAACAUCAGGCAGUACUUCACACAACACACAGUCAAGCUAUGGAACUUCUUGCUAGGAAAUGCUGUGAAGGCCAAAACUAUAACUGGCUUCACAGAAGCACUAGACAAGUUCAGGGAGAAUAGCUCCAUCAAUAACUCUUAGUCAAGAUGGUCAGGGACGCAACCCCAUGCUCUGGAUGUCCCUAAGCCUCUGACUGCCAGAAGCUGGGACUGGAUGACAGAGAAUGGAUCACCUGAUAAUUGCCCUGUUCUGUUCAUUUCCUCUGAAGCAUCUGGCACUGGCCACUGGUUGGAAAACAAAAUACUGCGCUAGAUGGACCAUUGGUCUGACCUAGUAUGGCCAUUUUUGUGUAUUAGCUAAUACACAUUUUUAGACACUCUCCCUGCCUCACACUAGUGAAGACAAGGCCUUUGGAGCAGGGACCCUGUUGUAACAGAUACAGCAAUUUCCUGAAACAUCCUUGAUUGACCUUAUUGUAUUAAGUUUAUGCAUUACUGUGGGCUGGGAUGAUAGGUAACCUCUCUAGGGAAAAGACGUGACAGAUGUGAGAACAGGGUGUUCAAAACACUAUUGAAAAUAUGCCAGACAAGUAUGGACAUUUGGGACAAUUAGCAUUAAAUGGAUUUCCUAGGGAAUCCCUACAGAGAGGUUAAUGCAAAUUCCCCAGUGCCAGUUAUUCAAAAACCCAGCCUUCUGAAAAGGCAUGAGGAAUGGGUCCAUUGUCUGCUGAUCACUUGUUGCAAAAGGCCAGUAUCAAAGGCCUGAUCUGUAUAAGGAACAGCUGAUCUGCCCAGUCUGCUUUCUGGCUCAGGAUCUAAGACAAAUGAACUUGUGACCAUGGGGAAAACCCAGUUGUGGGUUUUGAAGGACAAAAACAUACUAGAGCCCUAAGUUAGAGAUGGGAGUAACCUCUGGUAAGCUUUUUAGCAUGUAUUUUAGUUCUCUUAUUGUUAUAAUACAUUUUCUCUGUAAAUGCUUUUUCCUUAAGAAUAAAUGUGCUAGCACAGUA